AUGAGGGCUGCACUGAUCUGGGCAUCCCUUCUCCUCACUGUCAAAGGUGUCCUGUGUGAAGUUCAGCUGGUGGAGUCUGGGGGAGAUGUGAGACCACCCAGGGGAUCUCUGAGCCUCUCCAGCAAAGCCUCUGGAUUCACCUUCACUGAUUAUUCAAUGCACUGGGUCCACCAGGCUCUGGGGCUGGGUCUGGAGUGGGUGGCAACAGUGAGUAAUCCAACGGGAAAAGAGCAGUACUACUCUCCAUCAGUUCAAGGGAGAUUCACCAUCACCAGGGACAACUCUAUCAGCACAGUCUCACUAAAAAUGACAUACCUGAAAGCCAAAGACAUGGCCAGGUAUUACUCUGUGAGAGACACAGUGAGGGAAAGUCAGGGUGUCCUGUCCCAGGUGCAGCUGAAGGAGUGUCCUGACCCAGGUGACCUGGUGAAGCCCUCACAGACCCUGUCCCUCACCUGCUCUCUCUCUGGAUUAUCUUAA
Choloepus didactylus (southern two-toed sloth) is the source of this 480-nucleotide non-coding RNA. NCBI's taxonomy places the organism in Eukaryota, Metazoa, Chordata, Mammalia, Pilosa, Megalonychidae. The record is from the annotation of a RefSeq genome assembly.